CGUAGGUGGCAAGCGUUGUCCGGAUUUAUUGGGUUUAAAGGGUGCGUAGGCGGUUCCAUAAGUCAGUGGUGAAAUCCGGCAGCUUAACUGUCGAUGUGCCAUUGGAUACUGCGGAACUUGAGUACAGACGAGGUAGGCGGAAUUGACGGUGUAGCGGUGAAAUGCUUAGAUAUCGUCAAGAACACCGAUAGCGAAGGCAGCUUAACUAGACUGUAACUGACGCUGAUGCACGAAAGUGUGGGGAUCAAACAGGAUUAGAUACCCUGGUAGUCCACACUGUAAACGAUGAUUACUCGAUGUUGGCGAUACACAGCCAAGCGUCUUAGCAAAAGCGAUAAGUAAUCCACCUGGGGAGUACGCGGCAAACGGUG
Molecule: ribosomal RNA, 371 nt
Filed under: uncultured organism
Description: bacterial SSU rRNA
Rfam family: Bacterial small subunit ribosomal RNA
Source: RNAcentral